AACUGAUACUACCUGCGGGAACCUGCGGAAGGAUCAUUACUGAGUGAGGGCCCCUCGGGGUCCAACCUCCCACCCGUGUUUAACGAACCUUUGUUGCUUCGGCGGGCCCGCCUCACGGCCGCCGGGGGGCUCCUGCCCCCGGGCCCGCGCCCGCCGAAGCCCCCCCUUGAACGCUGUCUGAAGUUUGCAGUCUGAGAAACUAGCUAAAUUAGUUAAAACUUUUAGCAAUGGAUCUCUAGA
RNAcentral lists this unclassified non-coding RNA (240 nucleotides) under soil metagenome. RNAcentral describes it as "partial contains 5.8S ribosomal RNA, internal transcribed spacer 2, and large subunit ribosomal RNA". The record is from RNAcentral.